Grus americana (Whooping crane) is the source of this 10640-nucleotide long non-coding RNA. RefSeq lists it as uncharacterized. The record is from RefSeq and is a predicted model, not a curated record. The transcript has 6 exons. NCBI's taxonomy places the organism in Eukaryota, Metazoa, Chordata, Aves, Gruiformes, Gruidae.
CUAGAAAGAGUAACGAUGUUGGGCUUAGUAUGGAAAAAAAGACCUGCUUGGAGGAAGUUAUGGGGGGAAAAAAAAAAAAAUUCACACAAAUAUGUCUGUGAACUUGGCUGCUGUACAGUAGCGGUGCUGAAAAUAGCUGCAAAAACCGGGCUGCAUCAUGGUGAGCAAAGCUUCAAGAGCUGCGGCUUCUGCUGAAGCGUGAGGAGCAGGGGGUGACAGGAGGAAGAUGAUGCCACAUCUGAUGGUGAGGGCUCGCUCUGUCUUGAGGAAUUCACCUGGUUUAGCAUCUUGCGUGUUUGAAGAGAGUGAAAAAUGCCAGAAAUAAAGGAGAGGAGCUACUUUGCAGAAUUUCCAGCUGUUUUACAGACUGGAUUUCAAAUUUUUAGAAGUCUGCCCCGGGAAGGGGCCACUGGCCAAGCUGGGGGCUUACCCACUCAGGGAGCUGGAACCAGUUCCCAAGGCGUUCCUGGUCUGGUGGCUCACCAGGACUUUGGUUCAAGCCAUCAGACUCUCAUCAACGAGUUUUGGGAGACGUGACCGCACGAACCAUCUUGAACAGUGUCUGUCGGUAAGGAGGAGCUGUUCCUCCUGCCCCGUCGUGUCAAUGGCCCCAUGUGUUGGAGAGGAUGCAGGAAGGGAGCCCAGCGCAGCCAUCCACAGCGGUGAGGGGAGGCGAAGUGGUAGAGACCUCAGCAACAUCCUCUGCAAAGUGGGGAACUGGGGGAUUUGGAGCCCGGGGAGAAGGUUCCACUGGGAGGCAAAACCACUAAGACGGUAUUCUAUCUGCAUUCCUGAGCACGGUGGGUUUCCCCCACGGACCUUUAUCAUCUCCUGCCUGCGUGGACCAUUACUGGCUCGGGGAUGAAGUGUGAAGAGCGGAAACUCUCUGUGCACAGACCGACUGUCAGGAGAUGCUGCGUCUGCUCCGCGCCUGCCCAACAUCCUGUGCGACUUUCAAGCAAAUCUCUCGAUUUCUUUGCAUCGCCGUACCCAGACGUCCUCGCCUCAGCCAGCAGCGAGCCCUGCAUGAGUCACUUCGUGAUGCUCCAAGCCGUGGCACAGGACGAAGCGGUGGAAAGCCUGCGAGUCCCAGCGCGGUCGGACACCUCCAGCUGGUUCUUCUUACAAGCUGGACGGUGUGCGAGCACUUGAUACGUGGUUUAUAGCCAGAAGAGGCACGGGAUGAAGCCAAGGCUGGGAAACCUCCCCCUUGGAAGCAGGGAUGAAGAUUCUCAUGGAGCAGCAGUUGAUGGUCUGCACACCCAGCAGCUCUGCCCGGCGGCUGGGCGAUGGCCAUGGGAAGGCUCUCGCCGUCCGGCGGCUGUUGGGUGUCUAACGUGGCAAGGGGACACCACAGGCAGACGUGGAAGAAAGACGGAUGAGUUAGUCCUGAAUCCGAAUUCGGGUUCAUAGCCAUGUUGCUCCGCAAUCACUAAAGAUUAAGAUCUUAAUUUUAGCAUUUCUUGUGCAUUCUGCAGCCAGAACACGUCCCGUGUCUGCUCUGUGUAAGAGCCCGGGGAACGCUGGCGUGCUGGGUGUACAUAUUUAGGUUACUUCCAGAGAAGUGGAUUCAUUUUGAUGGAACCAGCCGACCGCCUCAGCACUCGGCCGUGUCGUGAUGGGGAUGAAGGACAGCUCCCGCCUUACAGCAUCUCGCUGUUGGAGGUUUUAACCUUGCUCACAUAUCUGUUACUGCUUGGUUUAUCUUCACUAAUAUUCAGACUUUGACCCUACCAAGACCAUUAUCAGACCGUCUCUGGAUUUCAGUGGCCAAACGCUCAAAAGCAGGGGCCCCCGGCGAGGGCUUCCUCUGCUUAACACAAAGUAAAGACCAACCUGUGCUGAACUAAUUCAUCCCGCUUUGAUCCCUCUCUUCAGGAGGUCUCUUGGCCUUCCUGGAACCACCUGGUUCAUUAGAAAUUGGGGUUUUGAAUGUAUUGGAAAUGUAGAUCUCAUAUUCCCAGAGGCAUAUGGGGACGUGGUGAAAUGAAUGUGCAUAUUGUAUCUUAAUAAUCUGGUCUUCUGGGGUUGACAGACUUUUUGAAGGAGGUUUGAAACAGGGACCAGUUUCAUCUCACACCAGGCACUGGGUCCUCACUUAACUAACUCUGCAAUUCCGUAUAAACUUCUCAACGUAAAAUAUAGUACUAUGCAAUAAUCAGAUAUUAUUUAGAAUGUAUUUGGUAAGGAACAUCUGCUGCCCUGAAAAUUAAAUUAAGGGUGUUAAAUAGGAGUUUAAAGAAAACGGGUUUUGGGGGGAAAAAGAUCUUUGAAGAUACCUAUUUUAGUUCAGAUUUCAAAUUUAAAUUUCCUCAAAUAUGUUGGCAGGAUUCAUUUCUCCUUUGUACAUGUAACAUUAUUUGUUCAUAUAUGCCAUUAUACAGCUCCUUUCAAGCUGAAUAUUAUACUGGAAUACAGCAAAAGACAAAUUUAAGAUAUGAAACUGGAGGAGACCAUAUUUCAUACUGCAUAAAAUGCACCUCUGGAAUUUUCAGUUCUUCUUUUCUGCAGUAUUACAAAUGCCUUUAUAAAGUAUCAUGGCUGAUGAGCUAAAAAAAAAAAAAAAAAAAAAAAGAGAAAAAAUGCUGUGGCUUUGGAUAUGUUCACUUCAAGUUUGUGGUUAAUAGUUCCCAGGCUGCUUAGAGGUGAGCCUAAGUUCACUCAUCACACCACUGCUUCACCAGUCUCUGCCGAUGUUUCUAAAUGACUCUGAUGAAAGAUUGUGAAAAAUGGACCUGUGGUAAAUUGCAUCACCCUCGUUAUGCAUUUUAAGAUGGGGACACAACACAAGCUGUGUGUCCGGGUCACGCUCAGCCUUUCCUUGCAUUCCCUCUCCACCCCCGCCGCAGCCACCGGUGCAGUUCAGCCGGUGCCACCCACGGCGGGUGCAAACCCGCUGCCUUCUGCUGUGAGUUCAUUGCAUAACCGUGCAUCGCUACCCAUGCUGGUUUCCUCCUCUGCACGAGACAUUUUGCAUUAGCUAGUGGUUAUGGAGACACCAGAUUUCUCUUUGGUGAAGGUAAAAAGCUGCUCUGGGUGGAAGUCCCCGACCGCCGUGCGCAGGACCCCCGUCGGCUACAAGCGUUCAGGUGGUGUGAGACCGGCCGGAACCGAGAGAUCCUAGAAGAGCCCUUCGCUUUCUCACUGCCUGUGCCCUGACCUGUGCAACCGCUCUUUAAACCCCUUUCUUUCCAAAAUACAAAGAGCUUUUUCCUUCUCAAUCUUUGAGAGGUUUUACUUGAACCUCGUUAAACUUCAUCACCAAAAUCCAAAGCAGAUUGAGACGAAACAGCCCGUAGGUGAGAAUACGAGUUACAAAUUGGUGCUGAAGAAACACUUGUAGUCAACCAGCCUCUCCGUACGCAGCUUUAAACAGCGUAAAUUGCCAUCAGCUACGAUAGGAAGAAGUGGGGAGUCCCCAGCGCUACGUUAGGAAUUAAACCAAGCCCGGCGUCUCUGGGUCCGGCCAGGGCUGUUGUCUGCCGGCUCCUUGCAUGCGGGUGGUUGUUGUGGUGCUGGGACACGUUUAUGUGUUUUAUUUGUAUGUAAAUAUAAGAAAGCAGAAACAUAAACCCCCUCUGGGUAUGUGGCUAUUCUAGAAUAAACCCACGCAGCGACACAUUUUGAGGGAGGUAACGCAGAUGCUACGACCGUAACAAGUGUGAGCGUCCCUGCUCGCAGCCGGCUGCGCUGCCUCGGGCGGGCCCCACGAGUCUGGGGUUACGUUAUUCUGGGGGUGUUCCGUGAUCCCCGCGUGCAAACCCGAUAUGCACCCGUGUCCCAAAGCAGCGCCUGGUGCUGUAGGUGGCCGUUGGGUACCUCAGCCAGGCAGCCGCGCUGCUGGGUGGGAGGUCGGUGCUAAUUUGCACCAGCACUUCUGUAACGCUUCCUGGCAUCCGUCUGCGUUUGGGCACCACCUGGACCUGCGGUGCUCUUUACUCUGCAUCUCGCUUCUACUGUUACGUGGUCAUUUACUAAACCAAAAUAGUCCUUAAUACCUAGCAGAAGUAACAGAUCCUUUUGGGUUUAGUAUUUUCCCUCCUGGGUAGAAAAUGAGUAAAGUUUGGCAGCGGCGAACCAGACUUUGCAACUGCGAGGUUAUUUUUCCCCAUUGCAGCUUUUGCACGGUAGGGAAAAGGGUGUAUUUAAUCCCCGUGAAUCAGUCCCCGCACGAUGCUGGGUUUCCACUGCACCCUGAUACCCUCGGCAAUCCGGAGUCUGGCUCGGACAUCUCGCUUUCCCAUUCUUUAUAAAGCAGGAGUGAUUGUGUGUGAAAGGAGGUGCCUGGAUGUGAAACCAGCUAGAAAUAUCCCGUCCACUUCUCCUUUCCCAUCAGUAGAUAUUGCUUCAGUUCCCAUUUCCUAAUACUGCCUCUUUCAUCGGCUUCAGGCCCUUUUCACCAGUUGCUUGCCAAGGAUUUCUGCGCCUUGGACCAAGACAUACUUUAGCUAUUUUAAAUGAAAUCUUUGAUAUUCCUAUUGCAUUUUGUCUUCAAAUGUGCAUUUGUCAUAAUUUCUACAUUUUUCCCCCCUCUUUCAUGAUGACUAGCGAUGCAAGAUAAAGUAAGAUACUUCCACCAUGCUAUUUGCAGGGCUCUGGCCAUGGAAACAAUCUCUGUCCUCCUCUGCUCUUGCCUGCACCCCACUUUUCCCUGCUCUUCCUUUUAGCUAGACCCUUCUGCCAGCUUUCUCUCCUAUCAAGCCUCGUGCCACCUCGCUGUCCUUUAAUAUUAAAGUAAAAUGGACACCAACUCGUAUCUGACAUACCCUGUAAAAUCUGCGACUCUCAGACGUUAGACAACUGCUCGGAUCCUUGCAGUGAAGCAGACUGGAGUUAGCCCAGCCAUACCUGCAGUCACGCUCCCAGCAGCUCAUCGCUAUAUUGCUGCAAGUUUGCACGGGUUUGGGUGUUUAAUUAGCGCUGGUUCCACCGCAGUGCCCAGGGCCCUCAUUUUCCACUGGGGUGGUGCUGCCAUUUGGGGCUCACAGGGCACAGCAGCGAGGAGGGGGAGGAAGGCAGUUCUGGGUGUUCACUCUUGCUCCCACGGUCCUUGUGCUUUCUCUCCCGCAGGCUGUUAGACCGAACACACCUCGUGUCUGUAUAGAAACCAGCGCAAUUUGGUGCUCAUUUUGGCCUUGGUACUGCUUCAACAUAAAAAAUCAAUAAGAAUGUGCUUGUUUCCAGGGCACCCUUCAUCAGGCAGUACCAGAAAGGAGCAGAUUCAGACCCAAGGUGCCUUUGGGCUCUCACGGCCCAAGGCUGCACCACCGAGCGGGUCCCUCCCCACCCCGGGCAUCCCUGUGCCCCACCGCCACGUAUUGCUCCCGCCGAAGCUCCUCUCGUCAACCGGCUUCUGCGCCGCGGUGCUUUGCACCUGGAUGGGAAACCAGGUAGGAAAUUAGUAGGAAGGAUGAGGCUGGAAACGGUGGGGGUCUGGGACCUGGCUCCUGAGUGUGCUCAGCUGGCCCCGCAGCAGCAACAGCCUCAGCUGCCUGAUGAGGAGAAACUGUCCCCAAAACCCCUGACCUCUGCAGCUAUUCUUUUUCGGAGCUGUAAGGAAAAGGAAAUGGAGCUGCUGUAAUGCAUUGUUGUAAGCUGCUGGGUUCUGGUAUGCUCCAAUGUGUUGCUGUUUACUUUGCAGUGGUUUUUGUUGCCAUUUGCAUUUGAAUGUUGUAAGCUGCAGCUGCAGCUCUUCCCCGGGGAUGCUCCAGGUGUUGCUGGGGCAUGCCUCAGGAGCUGCAUCCCGCUAUCGGCAAGGGCUGUGCAGCGAGGUUAUUUAGGACAGGGAGGAAGGGAAAGGAGCCAGUAGGUCCAUUUCUGUGAAAGCAGGGCUCCUGGGGCGGCAGGUCCAGCUCCACAAAGCCCCGGCUGUGGGCUGAGCGGGGUCUGCCCCUGCAGCGAUGCGCAGCAGAGCCGGGCUGGGAGCAUCACAUCAGCUCCUCUUUGCACCAGGUACUCUGAUAUCAUUUGAAAUUUUUAUUGCUAAGUAUAGAAGUGGUUGAGAGAAACUGGGAGUGCAAUCCUGGCGGUGGGGUUUGCUGGUUUGCUGAUACCCUGGGGUUAGAGAGGAAACCCCAAGCUAAUUUACCAGGACAUUGCGUUGAAAAAUAAGGGCAGGUAAACUACAGGGCCUGGGGUUUAAUAAUUCUGUUGAUCUGGGGUUUCUGUUGCCUGUUUUAGAAAUAUAUCUAUAUAUAGCUGUGUCUUGUUGUUUGAACUACAUCUGGCUUAAAACUGCUGCAGUCAUUCUUGGGUUUAAUUCCAUUCUACUCUCAGAAGAUUAGUAAAUAAACGUAAUAAUUUCCAUGCGGUGGGUGGCGUGGGCUGGCGUUGAUUGGUAUGAAUCAAAAUGAUUGAAGAGCAUUACUGAGUGCCCUGAGAAUGAGAGGGAAACUGCUGGUGGAGCUGCCCGCACAGAUGGCUCUCUAGCACAUUAAGAGUACUGCAUUUUAAGACAAAAUGAAACUGUUUCUUCCUUUUUUUUCUUCAUUCAUAGACAGAAGCCAAACUCUACUGGCUCUACACUUUCCUCUUCUCUUUUUUUUUUUUUCCUUCCCCCCUUAAUAUUUCUGGUUUUCCUCUUUUCUUUUCACUGUACCUGCUCUUUUCCUUGGUUCCACGUUACAGGACACUUCUGUCCUCCUGUUGCAAUGCUCUGGGCGGGGGCCAAGCCCGAGGGCGGCAAUGUCCGCCCCUGUCUGAAUGGGAAUAUCGGGCAAACAAGGAAAGGACUUCCAAGGCACCGAGUGCCUCUUCCUAACCUGGCUGUGCCAAGUGCCCUCUGCUCCCAUAGACUUCAGUAAGAAAUGAGGAAUUGUCUGCUGCGGCUUAUUCCAGUCAUAAUGUGCGUUAAGAGUGCCCUCAGAGGAGCUUCCCACUUUGUGUAGAGGGCAAAGGACCUCUUGUGCCCUAGUUUUCUGUAUCUAGAUUAUGUCGUUUGAGAGGCUUCCUGAGCAAUGAGCAGCACCGGUGUGCAGAGCCGCAAUGCCGCCAAAGCCCGGGGCAGGCAGGGCUUCUUCCCGGGGCUCGGCAGAACUGCUGGUUGUGCUCUCCUUGGGGUCCCUCCAGAGACAGGGCUGAGCAGACGGACCUCUGCAUCUUCCAGCAGCACCAGCCCGUGAGGGUUAUUUCCCCUUCCAAUUUUGGUCUGAUGUUUCUCGGUUGGGGGGUGGAGGGUUUCUUGUUAUUGAUGAUUCAGCUUUCCUCAAGAUAGUCAGUCUAGAGUCCUUUUUUUGGAGUUUGAUAAAGCACCUCAGUUAAGGCAGCACCUCGGUGCACAGACUGCCUUAGCUAGCGAGAAGGGCUUGGCGAGCGGGAGGAUAAAACCAGACGAGCUGUGAGGAAAAGAGGAUAUCCAAGGAAGCAAGUUCUUGGUUCUUCAGGGAUGGCCUCACCUGAUGCCUGCAGGCGCUUCUGGCAACACUCCUGCCGCGGUAGCGUUAGACUGCACACUCCAGUUAGGCGUGCUGUAGAAAUGCUUCAGUAGAAAGGGGUUUCGACUAAAUCUACACUGGCUAUAUAAGCAUUUUUACCACCACCUCCCCAAGCAAGACAGGGAGUUUUCAAUUACAGAAUCGCAAACAGCCACACAGGACGCACCCUGAUUUAUGCAUUAAAUACCAGGAAAGGCUUCGGUUCUGUUUGUCACUUAGCAGAUGGUGACGGUUGUUCCAGCAUGUCAAAUAUUUCAUGCGUGACACCUCAAUUCAGGAAAUAGUGGUUUGCUCAGCAGAGGUGCAGGAGGCAGCAAGUUGUUAUUGAGUAUAACAUUAGCCUUUCUCAUAGUUUUUCUCGAUUUACCGAGUUUGUUUUCCAGAGCAGAAAGCUGUACUGGGUUCCGCACGGGGGGCAGUGGCGUACCCCAGGUGGCACGUGCAGGCUCGGGACGCCCGCAGCAGGGAACGUGUCCCACGUGCCAAACUCCCCAGUGUUUUGCUGGGUUUUUGACACCGUAGCAAGUUCGUUUUCCUGCAGGGUUGGGCUCGCGUCCUGCAGACCUCGGUCGCUGAGGUUCCUGUUCCUCAGAUGCAAGGUGCCUGAGGUUUGCUGAACCGCAGUGAGUUCAUUGUGAAACUGUGCCACCGAAGCGGCUCCAGCCACCCCAGGGUUGGUUGUUAUUCUGUAAAACGGGGUGAGGUCAAUCCCUUGCAGGCCCUUACCAAGAAGUCAGGGGUAAGCGCAGGGCUGUGCCAAGCAGAUGCUGUGCCCGUCCCGCAGGUGGGAGGGCAGCGAUGGGUUUCCCCGCACCGUCCCCUCGACUUCCAGGAGAGAGCUGUGGUAAGGACAGCACCUGGGUCCUCUGUCUCGCAGCUCGCCAGGUCCCGCACUGAAAGCAAAAAGAAACAAGCUGGAAAAUCGGCGUCUUCCUCCUCACUUUCACAAGGGCCAAGUGAAAGGGUCACGGAAAUGAUGGAGCGGCUCCUUCCAGCCGAGGGCCCCGGGGAGGCUGGAGCGCAGCCCCCCCCCGCCGUCUGCCGGCACGGCCGCUCUGCGGUUGCAGACACCUUCUGAUUUCUAAAGCGCUCGGUGUGGGUUUGGCAAGCACCGGGAGAGUCGUGGUGCUGGGGUGCUGCGGGCGAGCGGGGUCUCUCUGCAGGUGGCCUUCAGCCCGCCCCUUCCAGCUGCCCAGGGAUGCAAAAUCCCUGCAGUGGCCAAGCAGCGAAGAGGAGCUGGUGGCUAAAAGUGGAGCGUAGCCCACCCAUGCCUCUCCCGCAGGGUACAGGACGGCACGCAGCAGUUCCCGGGACAGCAGGGAAACGCCUCUGCUGCGACGUGAUCCCCACAGCCUUUAAACAAGGCUCAGGGUGUAAGUUAUUCUUGUUCACGGCCAGAACCUUCCCCAGGGCAGUUAGCCCGUUUCCCUGAAAUGCAGCGAUUUUUGCCUUUACUUGGAUCUGACCGUAAGGUACCGCGCAAUGUGUUUAUGUGGUUUUAACGCUCCAGCCUCGGCACCGGGAACAGUCGAGCAUCAGCCGUGGGGUGCCUCACGCGGGUCCCCGACCCGGGCAGGGUCCCGCCACCAUCCCGCUGGGGACAGAAGCGGAGUCAUUCCUGACCCGGGGGAGGCUGCCUCGAAAGGCCACCCGCUCAGCCUGGCUGGGCUCGGCCGUGGCAGCAGGAGGUGACACCCUGACGUGGAGCACAGAGAAAUGUUAUUCCAAGGCUUCCUCAUACCUUUGGGCUGUCCACGCUCCCUAACCCCUGGGCACUCGCGUUACGUAAAGGUACACGCGCUGCAAUCAGAACACCUCAGUGAGUUGCUUCUCUCAAGAUGCUAAUUAGGUAGAAGCUUUGCUACCUGUUUAUCACAACAUACCGGAGGAACGUGAGCUGGGGUCCUUCUCCUGCUGGGCUGUUCAUCAGGGACGGGGACGAGGGGCUCAGCCUGUGCUUCCAGCAAAGCUCGCCACGCUUUGCCGUGGGGAAUUGCUGGUUUGAGGGAGGGGAAUUUUCCUGAAUGUAGGAAUUACAUUCAAGCUUUGCCUCGGACAUGGCUUUCAUGUGCCACUGUGUUCGGCCGCAGGGAUGACGUCGGGUUCUGAACUGCUGGGAUGAACCCGGGAGCAAACAGGAUCUGGGAAUUAAGGCCCAAACAUCAGUCAGCUUUGCGUACAGCUGGGCAAGGGUACAAUCUAGGUGGGGCUGGGCCUUUUAAAAUCAAUGGAAAAAAACUUCUGUUAUCUUUAGCUCCUAGGGAAGAUAACAUUAAAUCAGCUAAGAAAGGGCAGUUUCAGUAAUAGUGCCUUAAUUAAACACACCACCAGUCUGAAAUCUGGUCAGUCACAAGAUGUAAAUUAAAAAUAGGUCCAAGAACACACCUAUUAACUACUGUGGCUUUUUAAAUCCUCUCUUCCUCUUCUUGACGAUUGUUUUCCUCUCCCUGCCUCGUGGAGAAAAAGCCAUUCAAUGAGACAGGCUGAUCACCCGUGCACGGAAAUCGCGUGUGUAGCAUCGCCGAGCUGCGUGGGUGUGAUUCCCCUGGACCAGCCUGGCAGCGCUCUGCACAGCGGCUGGGGAGCAGCACGCUUCUGAUGCAGCCAGUCGUUGUCAAACUUUUGCAACUCGCUCUGUAGGCAAUAUCUAAGAUGCUUUUGGUAUGACUCGGAUGCAGUUGUUGAUCGUUGGUGUGAGCUUUGAUGGAUGUUACGCAUUAGUAGAUACAAAUUACACGAGAUUUCUUGAUGUGAUGCAGCUCGUGCUGGGAUUUUGGCACGCAGCCUGAGAUGAUACAGUCAUCACAUGAACAUUAGGCGACUGAAGCACAGCUUUGCCGUGGACCUCCUUGGUACACCCCUGGGAACAUCUGUCCAUGGGCUUCCAGAAGCGUGGUGUUCAGGGUGGCGUGCAGCGUGUGGAGACCCCGGUGCGGCUCUCAAAGCUGAUGCGAAGGCUUGCUCUGGGCAGGAGUGGCAGCUGCUGGAUAUCAUACUGAAUUAUUAUUUCUGUGUGUGCUAACACGGUUCGCUUGCUGACUUGAAAUGAUGCCACUGGUAAUCUAUGCCAUCUUUCCCCAAGAUUUUUUUAAAAAUAUCCUAAAAACCAGUUUACCAGCCGCAAGGCUGGGAGCAGGCCAGCGUAGUCCACGCUCCGCUCUCUGCUCCCUCUGCUUUCUUCAGCAAUAAAGUCAGUGAAAACAAAGU